This 1220-nucleotide ribosomal RNA is filed under the name Francisella tularensis subsp. mediasiatica. RNAcentral describes it as "bacterial SSU rRNA". It matches the Rfam family "Bacterial small subunit ribosomal RNA", at positions 319 to 1533 of the family's 1533-position model. The record is from RNAcentral. Lineage: Bacteria; Pseudomonadati; Pseudomonadota; Gammaproteobacteria; Thiotrichales; Francisellaceae.
CUGAGACACGGCCCAAACUCCUACGGGAGGCAGCAGUGGGGAAUAUUGGACAAUGGGGGCAACCCUGAUCCAGCAAUGCCAUGUGUGUGAAGAAGGCCCUAGGGUUGUAAAGCACUUUAGUUGGGGAGGAAAGCCUCAAGGUUAAUAGCCUUGGGGGAGGACGUUACCCAAAGAAUAAGCACCGGCUAACUCCGUGCCAGCAGCCGCGGUAAUACGGGGGGUGCAAGCGUUAAUCGGAAUUACUGGGCGUAAAGGGUCUGUAGGUGGUUUGUUAAGUCAGAUGUGAAAGCCCAGGGCUCAACCUUGGAACUGCAUUUGAUACUGGCAAACUAGAGUACGGUAGAGGAAUGGGGAAUUUCUGGUGUAGCGGUGAAAUGCGUAGAGAUCAGAAGGAACACCAAUGGCGAAGGCAACAUUCUGGACCGAUACUGACACUGAGGGACGAAAGCGUGGGGAUCAAACAGGAUUAGAUACCCUGGUAGUCCACGCUGUAAACGAUGAGUACUAGCUGUUGGAGUCGGUGUAAAGGCUCUAGUGGCGCAGCUAACGCGAUAAGUACUCCGCCUGGGGACUACGGCCGCAAGGCUAAAACUCAAAGGAAUUGACGGGGACCCGCACAAGCGGUGGAGCAUGUGGUUUAAUUCGAUGCAACGCGAAGAACCUUACCUGGUCUUGACAUCCUGCGAACUUUCUAGAGAUAGAUUGGUGCCUUCGGGAACGCAGUGACAGGUGCUGCACGGCUGUCGUCAGCUCGUGUUGUGAAAUGUUGGGUUAAGUCCCGCAACGAGCGCAACCCCUAUUGAUAGUUACCAUCAUUAAGUUGGGUACUCUAUUGAGACUGCCGCUGACAAGGCGGAGGAAGGUGGGGACGACGUCAAGUCAUCAUGGCCCUUACGACCAGGGCUACACACGUGCUACAAUGGGUAUUACAGAGGGCUGCGAAGGUGCGAGCUGGAGCGAAACUCAAAAAGGUGCUCUUAGUCCGGAUUGCAGUCUGCAACUCGACUGCAUGAAGUCGGAAUCGCUAGUAAUCGCAGGUCAGAAUACUGCGGUGAAUACGUUCCCGGGUCUUGUACACACCGCCCGUCACACCAUGGGAGUGGGUUGCUCCAGAAGUAGAUAGCUUAACGAAUGGGCGUUUACCACGGAGUGAUUCAUGACUGGGGUGAAGUCGUAACAAGGUAGCCGUAGGGGAACCUGCGGCUGGAUCACCUCCUUAA